UGCUAGUGAACUUUGUCACUUAAAUAUCACAUGCAACACAACUCAAUUAUCAUUCACAUCACAUCAACAUCAAAUAGAUUCAUCAUGCAUAUCAUUCAGUCAAACAUUGUCAGAAAAGUUUUCAACCCAAGCAUAGACACUGAAAAUACAAAUUCAACCUAUUCUAAAAACAAAUACAAAAUGCAAAAGUGAAAGAAAGAAAGAAAAAAAGAAGAAAUAAAAAAAUAGAACCCUGUCUACAGCAUGGACCUCCAUU
RNAcentral lists this long non-coding RNA (256 nucleotides) under Vigna radiata. RNAcentral describes it as "long non-coding RNA (VRAD_LNC014478)". Lineage: Eukaryota; Viridiplantae; Streptophyta; Magnoliopsida; Fabales; Fabaceae. The record is from RNAcentral.